GAUCCUGGCUCAGGAUGAACGCUAGCGACAGGCUUAACACAUGCAAGUCGAGGGGCAGCACGGGAGUAGCAAUACUUGGUGGCGACCGGCGCGACGGGUGAGUAACGCGUAUGCAACCUACCUAUCAGAGGGGAAUAACCCGGCGAAAGUCGGACUAAUACCGCAUAAAACAGGGGCACCGCAUGGUGAUAUUUGUUAAAGAAAUUCGCUGAUAGAUGGGCAUGCGUUCCAUUAGGUAGUUGGUGAGGUAACGGCUCACCAAGCCGACGAUGGAUAGGGGAACUGAGAGGUUGGUCCCCCACACUGGUACUGAGACACGGACCAGACUCCUACGGGAGGCAGCAGUGAGGAAUAUUGGUCAAUGGGCGGGAGCCUGAACCAGCCAAGUCGCGUGAAGGAAGAAGGAUCUAUGGUUCGUAAACUUCUUUUGCAGGGGAAUAAAGUGCAGGACGUGUCCUGUUUUGUAUGUACCCUGAGAAUAAGGAUCGGCUAACUCCGUGCCAGCCGCCGC
This 511-nucleotide ribosomal RNA is filed under the name uncultured bacterium. RNAcentral describes it as "bacterial SSU rRNA". It matches the Rfam family "Bacterial small subunit ribosomal RNA", at positions 15 to 518 of the family's 1533-position model. The record is from RNAcentral.